AGAGCAGUCUCGUAGUGACCUGCGGAGGGAUCAUUACACAAAUAUGAAGGCGGGCUGGAACCUCUCGGGGUUACAGCCUUGCUGAAUUAUUCACCCUUGUCUUUUGCGUACUUCUUGUUUCCUUGGUGGGUUCGCCCACCACUAGGACAAACAUAAACCUUUUGUAAUUGCAAUCAGCGUCAGUAACAAAUUAAUAAUUACAACUUUCAACAACGGAUCUCUUGGUUCUGGCAUCGAUGAAGAACGCAGCGAAAUGCGAUAAGUAGUGUGAAUUGCAGAAUUCAGUGAAUCAUCGAAUCUUUGAACGCACAUUGCGCCCUUUGGUAUUCCAAAGGGCAUGCCUGUUCGAGCGUCAUUUGUACCCUCAAGCUUUGCUUGGUGUUGGGCGUCUUGUCUCUAGCUUUGCUGGAGACUCGCCUUAAAGUAAUUGGCAGCCGGCCUACUGGUUUCGGAGCGCAGCACAAGUCGCACUCUCUAUCAGCAAAGGUCUAGCAUCCAUUAAGCCUUUUUUUCAACUUUUGACCUCGGAUCAGGUAGGGAUACCCGCUGAACUUAAGCAUAUCAAUAGNCGGAGGAAA
Molecule: ribosomal RNA, 578 nt
Filed under: Alternaria alternata
Lineage: Eukaryota; Fungi; Ascomycota; Dothideomycetes; Pleosporales; Pleosporaceae
Description: eukaryotic LSU rRNA
Rfam family: 5.8S ribosomal RNA (bases 202-355)
Source: RNAcentral